RNAcentral lists this non-coding RNA (45 nucleotides) under Schistosoma curassoni. The record is from RNAcentral. Lineage: Eukaryota; Metazoa; Platyhelminthes; Trematoda; Strigeidida; Schistosomatidae.
AUUCAGCUGACGAGUCCCAAGUAGGACGAAACACGCGUCCUGUAU